Molecule: small RNA, 659 nt
Filed under: Pan troglodytes (chimpanzee)
Lineage: Eukaryota; Metazoa; Chordata; Mammalia; Primates; Hominidae
Description: retained intron
Source: RNAcentral
GUGGUAGGGGAGAUGGAAACACAUUUGGCUGUUAGUUUGGCCCUGUGUUUAAUGGGUGGUAAAUAUAAGUAGAAAAUAGAGAACUUAAGUAAAUACAGCUUGAAAAGAAGCUGCUUAUGUAUUCAUCUUUCCCAAUUUGGCAGGGCCGUGUGGUCUUUGAGGACGUGGCCAUAUAUUUCUCCCAGGAGGAGUGGGGGCACCUUGAUGAGGCUCAGAGAUUGCUGUACCGUGAUGUGAUGCUGGAGAAUUUGGCCCUUUUGUCCUCACUAGGUUCUUGGCAUGGAGCUGAGGAUGAGGAGGCACCUUCACAGCAAGGUUUUUCUGUAGGAGUGUCAGAGGUUACAACUUCAAAGCCCUGUCUGUCCAGCCAGAAGGUCCACCCUAGUGAGACAUGUGGCCCACCCUUGAAAGACAUUCUGUGCCUGGUUGAGCACAAUGGAAUUCAUCCUGAGCAAGCCAUAUAUAUUUGUGAGGCAGAGCUUUUUCAGCACCCAAAGCAGCAAAUUGGAGAAAAUCUUUCCAGAGGGGAUGAUUGGAUACCUUCAUUUGGGAAGAACCACAGAGUUCACAUGGCAGAGGAGAUCUUCACAUGCAUGGAGGGCUGGAAGGACUUACCAGCCACCUCAUGCCUUCUCCAGCACCAGGGCCCUCAAAGCGAG